Molecule: ribosomal RNA, 429 nt
Filed under: Actinomycetes bacterium
Lineage: Bacteria; Bacillati; Actinomycetota; Actinomycetes
Description: Actinobacteria bacterium partial 16S ribosomal RNA
Rfam family: Bacterial small subunit ribosomal RNA
Source: RNAcentral
UAGGGAAUCUUCCGCAAUGGGCGAAAGCCUGACGGAGCAACGCCGCGUGAGUGAUGAAGGUCUUCGGAUCGUAAAACUCUGUUAUUAGGGAAGAACAAAUGUGUAAGUAACUAUGCACGUCUUGACGGUACCUAAUCAGAAAGCCACGGCUAACUACGUGCCAGCAGCCGCGGUAAUACGUAGGUGGCAAGCGUUAUCCGGAAUUAUUGGGCGUAAAGCGCGCGUAGGCGGUUUUUUAAGUCUGAUGUGAAAGCCCACGGCUCAACCGUGGAGGGUCAUUGGAAACUGGAAAACUUGAGUGCAGAAGAGGAAAGUGGAAAUCCAUGUGUAGCGGUGAAAUGCGCAGAGAUAUGGGGGAACACCAGUGGCGAAGGCGACUUUCUGGUCUGUAACUGACGCUGAUGUGAGAAAGCGUGGGGAUCAAACAGG